UACGGAGGGGGCAAGCGUUAAUCGGAUUUACUGGGCGUAAAGGGUCCGUAGGCGGUUGUGUAAGUCUGAUGUGAAAUCUUCGCCGCUUAACGGGAAGAGGUCAUUGGAAACUGCGCAACUUGAGUGUGGUAGAGGCCGGCGGAAUUCCGGGUGUAGCGGUGGAAUGUUUAGAUAUCCGGAAGAACACCAGUGGCGAAGGCGGCCGGCUGGGCCACUACUGACGCUGAGGGACGAAAGCGUGGGGAGCGAACAGG
Molecule: ribosomal RNA, 254 nt
Filed under: uncultured bacterium
Lineage: Bacteria
Description: partial 16S ribosomal RNA
Rfam family: Bacterial small subunit ribosomal RNA
Source: RNAcentral